RNAcentral lists this ribosomal RNA (861 nucleotides) under Triticum aestivum (bread wheat). RNAcentral's name for it is "partial small subunit ribosomal RNA". The record is from RNAcentral. Lineage: Eukaryota; Viridiplantae; Streptophyta; Magnoliopsida; Poales; Poaceae.
AUGGGCGAGCCCGCCGAUGGUUUCUUCCUCCGCCUUCCGCCGGAGCUCGUGGACGAGAUCCUACUCCGCCUUCCGCCGGACGAGCCCGCCUGCCUCGUCCGCGCCUCCGCCGUCUGCAAGCCCUGGCGCCGCUUCUUCGCCAACGCGAACUUUCGCGGCCGCUACCGCGAGUUCCACGGGGCACCUCCCGUCCUGGGGCUCGUCCAAGAGGCCGCAAGCUUCCUCGCCAUAUCUGCGCUUCCAACCCUACCAGACCUUUCACACUUGGUCGCCGCUGCCCUGAAGGCCCUGGACUGCCGCCACGGACGCUACGUCUUUGACUCAUACGACCAGUACUGGCAGGGGGAUACCGUUCACCUGACCGUCCUGGACCCUCUGACGGGCCAUGGGCAUCACAUUCCCACACCGAUGGACAAUCGUUUGCUCUGGUACAGUGUGGCCGUGCUCUGCGCCACACAAGGCUGCGACCACCACGAUUGCCAGGGAGGACACUUCAGUGUGGUCAUCGUGACCACCAAUCACGAGCAAAGGGUGACCCUAGGUUGGCUCUACUCGUCCGAGACAGAGUUGUGGAGUGCUCUUACAAGUGUUUCCCAUCCAAAUGUCCUCAAGUAUAGUUAUAUCCGUGGCUCGCCUAGUGUGCUUGUGAGUGAUACCCUGUACUUUGACUUGGAUGGUAUCAUUCAGUGCCACCUUGGUUCCCGGUGUUUCUCCAUGCUCGAGAGACCCGCAGAUGGCAAGGGGUAUCUCAUGACAGCAGAAGACGGCGGACUGAGAUUCGCCACCAUGGUGGAUGUCACAAAUCUAACUCUGUGGUCAAUGCAAACCGGACUGGAAGGAGCCAUGGGAUGGGCAAAGUAA